This 497-nucleotide ribosomal RNA is filed under the name uncultured bacterium. Its description in RNAcentral is "partial 16S ribosomal RNA". It matches the Rfam family "Bacterial small subunit ribosomal RNA", at positions 28 to 507 of the family's 1533-position model. The record is from RNAcentral.
GAUGAACGCUGGCGGCGUGCCUAAUACAUGCAAGUCGAGCGAACAGAUGAUGAUUUUGCUCCUCUCACGUUAGCGGCGGACGGGUGAGUAACACGUGGAUAACCUACCUAUAAGACUGGGAUAACUUCGGGAAACCGGAGCUAAUACCGGAUAAUAUCUUGAACCGCAUGGUUCAAUAGUGAAAGACGGUUUUGCUGUCACUUAUAGAUGGAUCUGCGCCGCAUUAGCUAGUUGGUAAGGUAACGGCUUACCACGGCAACGAUGCGUAGACGACCUGAGAGGGGGAUAGGCCACACUGGAGCGUGACCAGGGACAAGGGGCCUACGAGAGGCAGCAGUAGGGUACGGUCCGCAGCAGGCGAAAGUCUUGCGGAGUGAGGGCAAGUGAGUGAUGAAGGUCUUCGGAUCGUAAAACCGUGUUAUGAGGUGAGAACCGAUGUCUACGUAGCUAAGGACGGCGUGACGGUACCUGGUAAGAAAGCCACGGCUAACUACGUG